RNAcentral lists this ribosomal RNA (553 nucleotides) under Culicoides imicola. RNAcentral's name for it is "partial 16S ribosomal RNA". It matches the Rfam family "Bacterial large subunit ribosomal RNA", at positions 1797 to 2619 of the family's 2925-position model. Lineage: Eukaryota; Metazoa; Arthropoda; Insecta; Diptera; Ceratopogonidae. The record is from RNAcentral.
CGCUUGUUUAUCAAAAACAUGUUUUUUUGAUUAAAUAAAAAGUCUAGCCUGCCCGGUGAAUUUUUAACGGCCGCAGUAUACUGACUGUGCAAAGGUAGCAUAAUCUAUUGUCUUUUAAUUAAAGGCUUGUAUGAAUGGUUGAAUGAGAUAUUAACUAUUUUUAUUUUAAUAAAAAUGAAUUUUAAUUUUUAGUAAAAAUGCUAAAAUAAAAAAAUUAGACGAGAAGACCCUAUAAAUCUUAAUUUUAUUUUUUAUAAUAUUAAUUUUGAAAAUUUUUAAUAAAUUAUAAAAAUAAAAUUUUAUUGGGAGGAUAAUGAAAUUUAAUAAACUUUUAUUUUUUUUUAUAAAUAUAAUUAAAUUAUUGAAUAUAUAAUUAUAAAAUAUUUAAAAAAUUAAGUUACUUUAGGGAUAACAGCGUAAUUAUUUUAAAGAGUUCUUAUCGAUAAAAUAGUUUGCGACCUCCAUGUUGAAUUAAGAAUUAAUUUAGGUGUAGAAGUUUAAAUUUUAAGUCUGUUCGACUUUUGAAUCCUUACAUGAUCUGAGUUCAGACCGG